This 495-nucleotide ribosomal RNA is filed under the name uncultured bacterium. RNAcentral describes it as "partial 16S ribosomal RNA". It matches the Rfam family "Bacterial small subunit ribosomal RNA", at positions 28 to 507 of the family's 1533-position model. The record is from RNAcentral.
GAUGAACGCUGGCGGCGUGCUUAACACAUGCAAGUCGAACGAAGCACCUCUCCCGAAGAUUGACACAGCUUGCUGUAGAUUGAUUCAUUUGAGGUGACUGAGUGGCGGACGGGUGAGUAACGCGUGGGUAACCUGCCUCAUAGAGGGGGACAACAGUUGGAAACGACUGCUAAUACCGCAUAGUAAGAAGAAUUCGCAUGUUUUCUUCUUGAAAGAUUUAUCGCCAUGAGAUGGACCCGCGUCUGAUUAGCUAGUUGGUAAGGUAACGGCUUACCAAGGCGACGAUCAGUAGCCGGCUUGAGAGAGUGAACGGCCACAUUGGGACUGAGACAUGGCCCAAACUCCUACGGGAGGCAGCAGUGGGGAAUAUUGCACAAUGGGGGAAACCCUGAUGCAGCGACGCCGCGUGAGUGAAGAAGUAUUUCGGUAUGUAAAGCUCUAUCAGCAGGGAAGAUAAUGACGGUACCUGACUAAGAAGCCCCGGCUAACUACGUG